UUAACUCAAAUUUGUAUAGAGUUGAAUCGUUUGCCUACGUUUGACGCUAGGAGCGCGUUUCAACUGCAUACAAAUUUGAGUUA
Molecule: non-coding RNA, 83 nt
Organism: Bombyx mori (domestic silkworm)
Lineage: Eukaryota; Metazoa; Arthropoda; Insecta; Lepidoptera; Bombycidae
Source: Rfam